RNAcentral lists this long non-coding RNA (706 nucleotides) under Mus musculus (house mouse). RNAcentral describes it as "predicted gene 27177". Lineage: Eukaryota; Metazoa; Chordata; Mammalia; Rodentia; Muridae. The record is from RNAcentral.
GGUCACUGUUCAGCUUCCCUGAACCUGAAGUUCAUCAAUUCAGCCAGGAUGGUUGGUCCAACAGCUUCAUGGAUGGGGCUGUCUUCUCUCCCCAACGCACAGGACAUAGGGAAAUAAAGCUGAGGGCGAGUUGGCUUUCACGGUGUCCCGUCCAAGUGCUGCGUGGGCUGCUGUGGGGCUGUCCCGCUCAGCCAUGGAUCGUGUGUUAUGGUGCUGAAAAGCCAGUCUCUUACAUGUUACAGACCCAAGCUGUUGAUAAAAGUGUUCAAGGGACUGUGAAGUCUGGCACCUAAGAAGACCCACCUACCUGUCAGGAUGGGGGUAGGGGGUGGAGAUCAAAGACCAGAGUGGCCCUGCAGCAGGCCUCAGCCGUUCCUAAUGGAUAUCUUAAUAGACAAUGAAAGCAUGCCAACAAAUUCUUCCGCUGUGAAGAGGAGGCAGACAGAGGGUUGAGACCUUCAGCCCCCAGAACAUGGUGGGCUGGCAAAGACUCUCUGUGGUAUUGUGUUUCCAAUUGAAUGCAUCUUCCCUUCGUCUUCUGGUAACCUUUCUGAGAGAAGACAUACUUGCAGGUCUGGCAGGUCCUUCUCUGCUCCUUGGCCCGUGAGAACCACAACUGUCCACCCUCCAUGCGAACUAUUAGCAUUUCAUGAUCUAGAAGAACAAACUAAACAAUGAAGCAAUAAAAACAGGCAAAGUGCAAUCU